AACAGAGAGCGGGCGAGUCGCGGCGAUGAAUCGCUCUCCUCGGGAUCGGUACAGGACGCUAAACUUCUCGGUACUUCUCGAUACUUCUCGGCGACGGAGCUACACGUGUGCCGAAUGCGUCGAAGCUGUUUAUUUACCUGGCAAAGGCAAGGAUUCGAGGAAAGUGAUCGCGCAGAUUUGGGAGCGGAUGGCUCUGGGAGGGAAAGCCAGAUGCGUUGGGAGUAAUAGAGGGAAGAGGGGGAGCGAAACAACAAAUAGACAAAGGACCGAGGAGAGCAGUAACUGGCCGAAAUUUCAAACGAUACGAGAGAGACAGGCAUAAAAAAGCAACGUCCAGAUAUUCUGAAGAAUAUAAAGAUACGAAAAGAAGGCAUUGCUUUAAAUAAUGGGCUCGUUUAGGGUGCGCGAGUGAAAAAAAAUUACAAGUACAAAAGCAAAAAUUAUAUGGAAAAUGUAAUAUAGUAGUGUGCAUAAUUAUAGACUGAAAAUAACUUUUACAUUGUUAUCGAUGUGUAAAUGAAAACUUAACGUUAAAAUAUACAGAUAUGAUGUUUUGUUA
Megalopta genalis is the source of this 559-nucleotide non-coding RNA. The record is from RefSeq and is a predicted model, not a curated record. Lineage: Eukaryota; Metazoa; Arthropoda; Insecta; Hymenoptera; Halictidae.